CUUUACUGUAACUUGAGAUUGAAAUUGGACUUUACUUGCGCAGUAUAGGUGGGAGGCGUUGAGAAUUUUCUUGCGGGAAGAUUGGAGCCAUCAGUGAGAUACCACUCUUGUAAUGUUAGAUUUCUAACUUUGGAUCAUGAUCUGGUCAAAGGACAGUUUCAGGCGGGCAGUUUGACUGGGGCGGUCGCCUCCCAAACGGUAACGGAGGCGUACAAAGGUUUCCUCUGAACGGGUAGAAAUCGUAUCUAGAGUGUAAAGGCAUAAGGAAGCUUGACUGUGAGACCUACAAGUCGAGCAGGGACGAAAGUCGGUCUUAGUGAUCUGACGGUGCUGAGUGGAAAGGCCGUCACUCAACGGAUAAAAGUUA
RNAcentral lists this ribosomal RNA (367 nucleotides) under uncultured organism. Its description in RNAcentral is "bacterial LSU rRNA". It matches the Rfam family "Bacterial large subunit ribosomal RNA", at positions 2099 to 2465 of the family's 2925-position model. The record is from RNAcentral.